Molecule: small RNA, 655 nt
Filed under: Pongo abelii (Sumatran orangutan)
Lineage: Eukaryota; Metazoa; Chordata; Mammalia; Primates; Hominidae
Description: retained intron
Source: RNAcentral
CAGGGCCUGGUGGUCCCAGCAGCCUGAGUCCAGCCCCCGGUGGUCAGAAAGCAAGGCCUUCCAGACUCUUGCUCGACUGUGGUCUCCCCACCUCACUCCAUCUCUGGGUGCUUGGCUUUUGUCCUGCAUGAGCCAGAAGAGCUGCUGGGGUGCAAGGAGGCCAGCUGACCCCAUCCUGCGCCUCCCGGCUUCCCAGGACAUGCUGGCCCUGCAGAUCAUCGACCUCUUCAAGAACAUCUUCCAGCUGGUCGGCCUGGACCUCUUUGUUUUUCCCUACCGCGUGGUGGCCACUGCCCCUGGGUGCGGGGUGAUCGAGUGCAUCCCCGACUGCACCUCCCGGGACCAGCUGGGCCGCCAGACAGACUUCGGCAUGUACGACUACUUCACACGCCAGUACGGGGAUGAGUCCACCCUGGCCUUCCAGCAGGCCCGCUACAACUUCAUCCGAAGCAUGGCCGCCUACAGCCUCCUGCUGUUCCUGCUGCAGAUCAAGGAUAGACACAAUGGCAACAUUAUGCUGGACAAGAAGGGCCAUAUCAUCCACAUCGACUUUGGCUUCAUGUUUGAAAGCUCGCCGGGCGGCAAUCUCGGCUGGGAACCCGACAUCAAGCUGACGGAUGAGAUGGUGAUGAUCAUGGGGGGCAAGAUGGAGGCG